CAAUAGCGUAUAUUAAAGCUGUUGCAGUUAAAAAGCUCGUAGUUGGAUCUCGGGUCCAGACUCGCGGUUCACCUUGCGGUGAUUACUGCCCGUUCUGACCUACCUACCGGUUGUCCCUUGGUGCUCUUGACUGAGUGUCUCGGGUGGCCGGAACGUUUACUUUGAAAAAAUUAGAGUGUUCAAAGCAGGCAGUACGCCUGAAUAAUGGUGCAUGGAAUAAUGGAAUAGGACCUCGGUUCUAUUUUGUUGGUUUUCGGAACUUGAGGUAAUGAUAAAGAGGGACAGACGGGGGCAUUCGUAUUACGGUGUUAGAGGUGAAAUUCUUGGAUCGCCGUAAGACGAACUACUGCGAAAGCAUUUGCCAAGCAUGUUUUCCUUAA
RNAcentral lists this ribosomal RNA (380 nucleotides) under uncultured eukaryote. RNAcentral describes it as "partial 18S ribosomal RNA". It matches the Rfam family "Eukaryotic small subunit ribosomal RNA", at positions 592 to 976 of the family's 1831-position model. The record is from RNAcentral.